AUUGAACGCUGGCGGCAGGCCUAACACAUGCCAGUCGAGCGAGCGGCGGACGGGUGAGUAAUGUAUGGGGACUGCCCGAUAGAGGGGGAUAACUACUGGAAACGGUGGCUAAUACCGCAUACUAUCGGAUAACCCAUAUGGGAUUAGCUAGUUGGUGGGGUAAAGGCUCACCUAGGCGACGAUCUCUAGCUGGUCUGAGAGGAUGAUCAGCAACACUGGGACUUGGACACGUCCCAUACUCCUACGGAGGCAGCAGUGGGGAAUAUUUCACAAUGGGCGCAAGCCUGAUGCAGCCAGACCGCGUGUAUGAAGAAGGCCUUAGGGUUGUAAAGUACUUUCAGCGGGGAGGCGUUACCCGCAGAAGAAGCACCGGCUAACUCCGUGCCAGCAGCCGCGGUAAUUC
This 403-nucleotide ribosomal RNA is filed under the name uncultured bacterium. Its description in RNAcentral is "partial 16S ribosomal RNA". It matches the Rfam family "Bacterial small subunit ribosomal RNA", at positions 30 to 526 of the family's 1533-position model. The record is from RNAcentral.